Rhododendron vialii is the source of this 106-nucleotide small nucleolar RNA. RefSeq annotates it as small nucleolar RNA snoR100. The transcript has a single exon. NCBI's taxonomy places the organism in Eukaryota, Viridiplantae, Streptophyta, Magnoliopsida, Ericales, Ericaceae. The record is from RefSeq and is a predicted model, not a curated record.
AAAUGAAGGAAGCAUGGUAAUGUGCACAGAAAUUGUUUGGGUUUCUAGGCCUGCCUCUCUGAUGCCUUUCGGCUUUGAUUUGGGGGUAUGGUUUUGCAACAAAACG